GGAUUAGAUACCCUAGUAUUUGUGUAAUAUAAAUUAGUGUAUAAAGAAACUUAAAAUUUUUGGCGGUUAUCUACUAUUUAGAGGAGUUUGUUGAGAUUAGAAUUUGCACUUUAAAUUUAGGGAAUAUAAACUUAUUCAUCUCCGUUAUAAGGUUAAAGCUUUUAAAUAUAAUUAUAACAUUUCAGGUCAAGAUGUAGUCUUUAUUAAUGAAAAUUAACUACAGUUAUGAGAUAAUUGGAUUUUUUCAAAAAAUUUGUUAAAUAAAAGUGGAUUUGGUUGUAAUAAUUAUUAUGGGGUUUUUAUGAAAUGGGUUGGAUAGUGUACAGAUUGCCCGUCACUUCUGUUGUAAGGUGGAAUAAGUCGUAACAAAGUA
RNAcentral lists this ribosomal RNA (373 nucleotides) under Ampycinae sp. MZSP 73147. RNAcentral describes it as "partial small subunit ribosomal RNA". Lineage: Eukaryota; Metazoa; Arthropoda; Arachnida; Opiliones; Gonyleptidae. The record is from RNAcentral.